This 3004-nucleotide long non-coding RNA is filed under the name Ananas comosus (pineapple). Its description in RNAcentral is "long non-coding RNA (ACOM_LNC012710)". The record is from RNAcentral. Lineage: Eukaryota; Viridiplantae; Streptophyta; Magnoliopsida; Poales; Bromeliaceae.
AGAUAUAGGAAGAACAUAAUUUUUUGAAAAAACAAAAGAUAUUUUUUUUUAUCAAAAAUGAUAUAUUAUAUAUAGAGAGAGAGAGAAAGCAGGGCUGUUGUGUUUUAGGAGCACGAAGGUCUCUAUACUCCUAAGCAGGGCUGUUGUGUUUUUAGGAGCACGAAGGUCUCUAUACUCCUAAGCAAUUUUAAUGAUGGAAUUUUCAAAUUGACGAUCGAUUUUUUUUUAAUCUAUAGCGUAUUUGAUAUCUAGAAAAUAAAUUUUGUCAUUUUUUGAUAUCAUUUAUCUAGUAAUCGAAAGGAUUCAAAAUUAAUGACUAAAAAUAAAAAUCUAAAAAAAAAAUUAUGAUAUAGUACUAAAAUUUUCAAUCAUAAACACUAAUCUUGUUUAGAUAGUAUAUAGAAUUUUAUAUCAAAAUUUUAUCUUAUUUGAAUAUUUCUACAAAUUUGAAAAUGAUGGCAAAAUUUUUUAUCAAAAUUUUAUCUAAUUUGAAUAUUUCUGCAUCAUUAAAAUUAUUAAUUUUGAACUAUUUUCUUUCUUUUUUUCUUUUUUUUCUUUUUCUUUGUUUUUUUUUUCUCUCAAAACUAGGAGUAUAUGUUGUUAAGAUUUAGGGAAAACUUCAAAUACCCCUCACUUGGUUUCGCACUUUAUCACUUUAGUAAUUUAUGCUUUAAAGUGUACCAAUUUAGUACCCUAUGAUUUCGCACUUUUUCACUUUAAUAUUAUAUGAUUUAAAGUACGUCAAUUUAGUACUAUAUAGUUUUAUUUUUCUCUUUUUGUCGGCUACCCUGUUAAUAUUUCGUUAAAUUAUAUACAAAAAAACUUUAGAUAUCCUAUCUAGGUUUAUCGAAUAUUUACUUUAGUACUCUUUAUUUUUAACUUUGUCGCUGAUUUCUUUUUAUUCUGUUAAUAUUUCGUUAAAUUAUAUAGAAAAAACUUCAUAUAUCCUAUCUAGGUUUAUCGAAUAUUCACUUUAUUACUUUUUAAUUUUAAUUUUAAUUUUGCCACUGAUUUAAUGAAAAAAAUUGAUGAAUGGAUAAUAAAAAAAAAAAAUCACAAAGUACUAACUUAAUACAGUUUAAACCACAGAAUACUAAAAUGAGAAAGUGCGAAACCACAAAAACUUACUUGAUACACUUUAAACCACAUAAUACUAAAGUAAGAAGUUGUGAAACCACAAUGGGGUGCCCUGAGGUUUAUGAUAUUUUUACCAUGCAUUUAUUUGACUCCACUAUUUGAGGGAUCUCCCACUAUGCAUCGAACACGCGGCCUCCUCCUCCACCAACACCUUCGACCUCGCCCAUCCCCUUCUAAUGGCACUCUCCUCCUUCUACUUGAUCGGAACCCCCUUCACACGUAGAUCGGGAGAGAGGGUUCCACUCACCGUCCUCCUUCUACUUGAUUGGAACCCCCUUCACACGUAGAUUGGGAGAGAGGGUUCCACUCACCGUCAUUAUCGUCUUUCUCCUUCUCUAGUGUUAACUCCAAUGCGCAAGCCCGAGCGCCACUGCAGUAAGGAGUGAUAGCUCGAUCGUACUAUCUCGUCAUUGUCGGCAUAUGCGGUAGAGGUAGAAUUGAAGAGGGGUUGAGAUCAUCAAUGACAAAGGAAUGGGAGCCUCUGAGGAAGUAUCCGAGGGUUUAUGGAAGGGUUUUGGGGCUGCAAAUGGAGGAAGAGGUGGUGAGGGAGUGAGACGGGAUAUGAAGUGGGAGUUAGGAGGUCAAAUGUCUAGCCUUUGAUUUAGCCCAAUAACGAUACCAUCAGAGCCUGGUAUACGGCCCACAGUAAUUGAGUGGAGGCCCAACGCUGGGGCAAAAGGCUUGUAGGAUGUGCAAAUAUGUUUUUACAUUGAUGCAAUAUCACGCGGCAGUUGGCUGGUAUUCUUAUCAAAAUAUUUUUUUUUGAGAGAGAAAGAUAGCAUGUUAUUCGUUUCAUUUAUUUCAUUUUAGAAAUAAACUUAGCUGGAAAUGUGAAUCAACAGAUCGCAGAUAAAAUUUGAGAAAUUUUGUGGAUCAAUUGGUUGAAUCUUCCUCAGGUGUGUAGCUACUUAUUCUUUAAUUGGCCCUUAAGGUAUUGACCCGUAUUUUCGUACCGAUACGAGAGCGGUGCUAAAACUGUAAUCGAGAUAAAGAGAAGUGUGCGAGAGGGGGUUAAAUUGUUAAGCGGGAAGCUUUAAAUAUCGUGAAGUUGGGGAUUCGAUCUUGCAAGUAUUUGUAAAUAACAAGGAUUCUUGGAUUGCAUUUCGCAAUAAUCGUCUAUAAUGUGCAAAUAGUAGAAAAAAAAGGAAAAGAAAGAAAAAAAGUGGAUUGAAGUUCUUAUUCCAAGUAUAUUUUCACCUUGGUAUAUAAGGAGCUGGUAUCUUUCCAAUUUGAUCUUUUGUUGCUCGAGUUGGUUGAUGUUGGAGUACAAUGUAAUUAAUUAUGUUUGGAUUAUCAUUUAGUCCUUAAUUUGUUCAUUAUCUGUCGCCGUGUUAUUCCACUAUGGAAGGAAAUUUAUAUAAUGCUUGUCACUGUUAAUUGUUUGCAGCUCUUUGUUUAAGAGGUGCAGCACAUUAAACAUCUGAUUAUUGUGUGGCUUUACCCUGUUAAACAUCUGAUUAGGUAUUAUUGUUAGGAUCAUCUUCUUUUAACAAUAGUUUUAAGAGUCCGGCUAUGGUGCUUGUAAAAGCAUCGAGUACUUUGUGCUUGUAAAUUUUUUACCGUUAGAUUUAUACUUGAUCAUUUUCAUCCGUUAGAUUAUACUAUUCAACUAACCAUUAACUCAACCCUAGAAGGUCCACAUCAUUCUAACCGCACAUUCUUUAAUCCAAGGGUCAAAAACUUACAAGUACUAGUGAUUUGGUACUUUCAAAAAGUAUAAGAGCUCAAUUCUAGUUUUAAUACUACUAAGUAAAUUCAACCUCUCUGUUGGAUGGCUCUCCGCUCUAAGAAAAAGAGAAACUUGCUCUUCUAAUUUAAUCUAAGCUAAAAGGUAUUAAGAAAAACUCAAAUAAAAUAUGUUUUUUUU